AACACGACACAUGGAAUUGUAUCCUCAUUAUUAUAAAGAAGAUGAAGAGAGGAGGACAAAAAUUAUACGUUAUUACCAGUAACAAAUGGCGACUCCGCUGGGGACGUUUCAAUUCUGUUCUGGCGAUCGCGUCGUUAAGAGUUCUUUCUACUUCUAACCUUCCUCGCGAUAUCUUCUUCUAUCCUUCCGUUCUUUUCUUUAACUCUCCAAGCGCAUAAGAAUAGAUCAUGCGUAGUAACCACGCUCCAACAAUCGUAUAAAAGUCGUAAUUAAGAGUGACCACGCUCCAACAAUCCCAACUUAUUUAUUUUAAAUAUAUGGUAUUGAGUCUGUAAUUUAUUUUAUUAGGAACUUGUAUUAAGAGUAAAUUGGAAACUGAGGUCUAUGGUGGGAUGAGAUUCAACUAAAAAUAGAACUCUGUCUCACCAAAAACUUUGAAGGUAACAAUUGGUAAAUGGAAUGACCUAAAAAGUCAUAUCUACAUAGAACCCCACGUGUCUCACCAAAAGCCGAUUCGUCGAACUUUUCUGUCAGGUCCUCCUUGAAUUUCUACCAUGUCGCCAAUAAAUUAUUCCGACGAAGCCCCCUUAUCCAUGCUAAGACUGCCUUCGUCAUGUGGAACCUCGCGAUCUGGAGUUUGGCGUCCUUUCCAAUCCCAUGGAAAAUGAAGUACUCUUCCGCUUGAUACAACCAUCCCUAGAGAUCGUCCCCCGAGAAGCAUGGCAGAUCGAGUUUAAUCUCUCGUGUAGCUCUGGAUCCAAACGACUCCUCGGUUCUCCAGCCUUGUCUGUUUCCGUUGUGUCUAAACAGUUGCUUUAGCUCGCCCCAUUCCGACGAAAUUGCCAAGCCCUGACGCCGCGUGACCUAGUGGCCUGGAUUUUUGUUCCACCAUGAUCGACGUCAACAAUUUUUUUUUUUUUUUUUUUUGUCUAUUGCGAAUCACAUCUCUAG
Molecule: long non-coding RNA, 951 nt
Filed under: Zostera marina
Lineage: Eukaryota; Viridiplantae; Streptophyta; Magnoliopsida; Alismatales; Zosteraceae
Description: long non-coding RNA (ZMAR_LNC003216)
Source: RNAcentral